RNAcentral lists this ribosomal RNA (497 nucleotides) under uncultured bacterium. RNAcentral's name for it is "partial 16S ribosomal RNA". It matches the Rfam family "Bacterial small subunit ribosomal RNA", at positions 28 to 507 of the family's 1533-position model. The record is from RNAcentral.
GAUGAACGCUGGCGGCGUGCCUAAUACAUGCAAGUCGAGCGAACAGAUAAGGAGCUUGCUCCUUUGACGUUAGCGGCGGACGGGUGAGUAACACGUGGGUAACCUACCUAUAAGACUGGGAUAACUUCGGGAAACCGGAGCUAAUACCGGAUAACAUUUGGAACCGCAUGGUUCUAAAGUGAAAGAUGGUUUUGCUAUCACUUAUAGAUGGACCCGCGCCGUAUUAGCUAGUUGGUAAGGUAACGGCUUACCAAGGCAACGAUACGUAGCCGACCUGAGAGGGUGGUCCGCCACACUGGAACUGAGACACGGUCCAGACUCCUAAGGGAGGCAGCAGUAGGGAAUCUUCCGCAAUGGGCGAAAGCCUGACGGAGCAACGCCGCGUGAGUGAUGAAGGGGUUCGGCUCGUAAAACUCUGUUAUUAGGGAAGAACAAACGUGUAAGUAACUGUGCACGUCUUGACGGUACCUAAUCAGAAAGCCACGGCUAACUACGUG